GACGAGCCACACAAACGUUAUUCGGAAUUACUGGGCUUAAAGGGUGCGUAGGCGGUGCGGAAAGUUGGGUGUGAAAUACCUCGGCUCAACCGAGGAACUGCGCCCAAAACUACCGCACUCGAGGAAGAUAGAGGUGAGCGGAACUUACGGUGGAGCGGUGAAAUGCGUUGAUAUCGUAAGGAACACCCGUGGCGAAAGCGGCUCACUGGGUCUUCUCUGACGCUGAUGCACGAAAGCUAGGGGAGCAAACGGG
Molecule: ribosomal RNA, 253 nt
Filed under: uncultured bacterium
Lineage: Bacteria
Description: partial 16S ribosomal RNA
Rfam family: Bacterial small subunit ribosomal RNA
Source: RNAcentral